CAAACCAAAGCUGGCGACCGGCGCACGGGUGAGUAACACGUAUCCAACCUGCCUCAUACUCGGGGAUAGCCUUUCGAAAGAAAGAUUAAUAUCCGAUAGCAUAUAUUUCCCGCAUGGGUUUUAUAUUAAAGAAAUUCGGUAUGAGAUGGGGAUGCGUUCCAUUAGUUUGUUGGGGGGGUAACGGCCCACCAAGACUACGAUGGAUAAGGGUUCUGAGAGGAAGGUCCCCCACAUUGGAACUGAGACACGGUCCAA
RNAcentral lists this ribosomal RNA (255 nucleotides) under uncultured bacterium. RNAcentral describes it as "partial 16S ribosomal RNA". It matches the Rfam family "Bacterial small subunit ribosomal RNA", at positions 74 to 334 of the family's 1533-position model. The record is from RNAcentral.